UUGAAUACAUAAAAUUUGCCCAAAGUCCUUCUCUCAUUUUCUCUCUGACAAACCUAAUACAGAUCCGUAUUGUUGUCCAAUCUCUAAGUUUAACAUGGUAUCAGAGCCAUGAAAUCAUCAAUCCUUCACCUCGUAAUCUUAGCUGUGUUGAUUUUGGAGAUCUUAUUCCGUUAGCUACUGAAUUUUUCUUCAUAUGGUCUUAUCGGACAAAGUUUUUUAAUUUGUUGUCUCUUUUACUGGUUUCGUUGCUCGUCUACAUUGG
Molecule: long non-coding RNA, 262 nt
Filed under: Nicotiana benthamiana
Lineage: Eukaryota; Viridiplantae; Streptophyta; Magnoliopsida; Solanales; Solanaceae
Description: long non-coding RNA (NBEN_LNC026035)
Source: RNAcentral